ACGCACGCUGGCGGCGUGCCUAAUACAUGCCAGUAGAACGCUGAAGGAGUAGCUUGCUUCUCUGGAUGAGUUGCGAACGGGUGAGUAACGCGUAGGUAACCUGCCUGGUAGCGGGGGAUAACUAUUGGAAACGAUAGCUAAUACCGCAUAAUAGUAGAUGUUGCAUGACAUUUGCUUAAAAGGUGCAAUUGCAUCACUACCAGAUGGACCUGCGUUGUAUUAGCUAGUUGGUGGGGUACCGGCUCACCAAGGCGACGAUACAUAGCCGACCUGAGAGGGUGGUCGGCCACACUGGGACUGAGACACGGCCCAGACUCCUACGGGAGGCAGCAGUAGGGAAUCUUCGGCAAUGGACGGAAGUCUGACCGAGCAACGCCGCGUGAGUGAAGAAGGUUUUCGGAUCGUAAAGCUCUGUUGUAAGAGAAGAACGAGUGUGAGAGUGGAAAGUUCACACUGUGACGGUAUCUUACCAGAAAGGGACGGCUAACUACGUG
RNAcentral lists this ribosomal RNA (494 nucleotides) under uncultured bacterium. RNAcentral describes it as "partial 16S ribosomal RNA". It matches the Rfam family "Bacterial small subunit ribosomal RNA", at positions 29 to 507 of the family's 1533-position model. The record is from RNAcentral.